ACCGGCGGCUCGAGUGGUGGCCACUAUUAAUGGGCUUAAAGCGUUCGUAGCUGGCUUGUUAAGUCUCUGGGGAAAUCUUCGGGUUCAACUGGAGGGGGUCCAGGGAUACUGGCAGGCUAGGGACCGGGGGAGGUGAGAGGUACUCCAGGGGUAGGAGUGAAAUCCUGUAAUCCUUGGGGGACCACCUGUGGCGAAGGCGUCUCACCAGGACGGCUCCGACAGUGAGGAACGAAAGCUGGGGGAGCAAACCG
This 251-nucleotide ribosomal RNA is filed under the name uncultured prokaryote. RNAcentral's name for it is "partial 16S rRNA". It matches the Rfam family "Archaeal small subunit ribosomal RNA", at positions 475 to 726 of the family's 1478-position model. The record is from RNAcentral.